UACGUAGGGGGCUAGCGUUGUUCGGAUUUACUGGGCGUAAAGGGCGCGUAGGCGGCGUGUUAAGUCAGCUGUGAAAUCUCCAAGCUUAACUUGGAACGGUCAGCUGAUACUGAUGUGCUAGAGUGCAGAAGGGGCAACCGGAAUUCUUGGUGUAGCGGUGAAAUGCGUAGAUAUCAAGAGGAACACCUGAGGUGAAGACGGGUUGCUGGGCUGACACUGACGCUGAGGCGCGAAAGCUAGGGUAGCAAACGGG
Molecule: ribosomal RNA, 253 nt
Filed under: uncultured bacterium
Lineage: Bacteria
Description: partial 16S ribosomal RNA
Rfam family: Bacterial small subunit ribosomal RNA
Source: RNAcentral